CGCUGCCGUAGUAAGAGCUGGCAUUGCCCCUUAUUGUAGUAGUGAAGCCAAGAAGAACCCUUGCUGUCAAAUACUAGUUGGGAUUUGGAAACAAUGCUUGUCAUCAAACAUUGACUAGAAAAGAGACUGGUUAUCAGUCACCUGUCGAGAAGGAUGCUGAUCACUGACUGUCGGUCGUUGGUCGGGAUUCCUUAUGGUGGUGUAGGGAGGAGGAAAACAAAACACUAGCCAUCAGGAUGGGGAAAAAAAGACUCA
This 255-nucleotide long non-coding RNA is filed under the name Elaeis guineensis (African oil palm). Its description in RNAcentral is "long non-coding RNA (EGUI_LNC036969)". Lineage: Eukaryota; Viridiplantae; Streptophyta; Magnoliopsida; Arecales; Arecaceae. The record is from RNAcentral.